This 347-nucleotide unclassified non-coding RNA is filed under the name soil metagenome. RNAcentral describes it as "partial contains 5.8S ribosomal RNA, internal transcribed spacer 2, and large subunit ribosomal RNA". The stretch from base 1 to 120 matches the Rfam family "5.8S ribosomal RNA", at positions 35 to 154 of the family's 154-position model. The record is from RNAcentral.
GAUGAAGAACGCAGCGAAAUGCGAUAAGUAAUGUGGAUUGCAGAAUUCAGUGAAUCAUCGAAUCUUUGAACGCAACUUGCGCUCUCUGGUAUUCCGGAGAGCAUGCCUGUUUGAGUAUCAUGAAAUCUCAACCAUUAGGGUUUCUUAAUGGCUUGGAAUUGGGUGUUGCCAGUCGCCUGGCUCGCCUUAAAAGAGUUAGCGUGUUUAACUUGUCUAUCUGGCGUAAUAAGUUUCGCUGGUGUCGGCUUGAGAAGUACGCUUCUAAUCGUCUUCGGACAAUUCUUGAACUCUGGUCUCAAAUCAGGUAGGGCUACCCGCUGAACUUAAGCAUAUCAAUAAGCGGAGGA